GACAGAGGGUGCGAACGUUGCUCGGAAUUACUGGGCGUAAAGCGCGUGUAGGCGGCUAUGUAAGUCGGGCGUGAAAUCCCACGGCUCAACCGUGGAAGUGCACCCGAAACUGCGUAGCUAGAGUCCUGGAGAGGAAGGUGGAAUGCUUGGUGUAGAGGUGAAAUUCGUAGAUAUCAAGCGGAACACCGGUGGCGAAGGCGGCCUUCUGGACAGUGACUGACGCUGAGACGCGAAAGCGUGGGGAGCAAACAGG
Molecule: ribosomal RNA, 253 nt
Filed under: uncultured bacterium
Lineage: Bacteria
Description: partial 16S ribosomal RNA
Rfam family: Bacterial small subunit ribosomal RNA
Source: RNAcentral